This 459-nucleotide ribosomal RNA is filed under the name uncultured bacterium. Its description in RNAcentral is "partial 16S ribosomal RNA". It matches the Rfam family "Bacterial small subunit ribosomal RNA", at positions 338 to 795 of the family's 1533-position model. The record is from RNAcentral.
CCUACGGGAGGCAGCAGUGAGGAAUAUUGGUCAAUGGGCGGAAGCCUGAACCAGCCAAGUAGCGUGAAGGACGAAGGUGCCAAGCAUUGUAAACUUCUUUUGUCAAGGGACAAAAUCAGGCUCGAGAGCCUGACCGAGGGUACUUGAAGAAAAAGCAUCGGCUAACUGCGUGCCAGCAGCCGCGGUAAUACGGAGGAUGCGAGCGUUAUCCGGAUUUAUUGGGUUUAAAGGGUGCGUAGGCGGGCUGUUAAGUCAGCGGUAAAAGCCCGGGGCUCAACCCCGGCGAGCCGUUGAAACUGGCUGUCUUGAGAUGUCGAGAGGUAUGCGGAAUGCGCAGUGUAGCGGUGAAAUGCUUAGAUAUUGCGCAGAACUCCGAUUGCGAAGGCAGCAUACCGGCGGCGAUCUGACGCUGAGGCACGAAAGCGUGGGUAUCGAACAGGAUUAGAUACCCCUGUAGUC